CUGGUUGAUCCUGCCAGAGGUCACUGCUAUCGGGGUUCGAUUAAGCCAUGCGAGUCGAGAGGGUUCAGACCCUCGGCGGACUGCUCAGUAACACGUGGAUAACCUGGCCUAAGGUGGAGGAUAACCCCGGGAAACUGGGGAUAAUACUCCAUAGAUUAGAGAUACCGGAAUGUUCUUUAAUCGAAAGUUCCGGCGCCUUAGGGUGGAUCUGCGGCCGAUUAGGUAGUUGUUGGGGUAACGGCCCAACAAGCCCGUAAUCGGUACGGGUUGUGGGAGCAAGAGCCCGGAGAUGGAAUCUGAGACACGAUUCCAGGCCCUACGGGGCGCAGCAGGCGCGAAAACUUUACAAUGCAGGAAACUGUGAUAAGGGAACCCCGAGUGCCCGUAUACGCGGGCUGUCCAGGUGUUUAAAAUGCAUCUGAAGAAAGGGCCGGGCAAGACCGGUGCCAGCCGCCGCGGUAAUACCGGCGGCUCGAGUGGUGGCCACUUUUAUUGGGCUUAAAGCGUUCGUAGCUGGAUUUUUAAGUCUCUUGGGAAAUCUGCAGGCUUAACCUGCAGGCGUUUAAGAGAUACUGGGAAUCUAGGAACCGGGAGAGGUAAGAGGUACUCCAGGGGUAGAAGUGAAAUUCUGUAAUCCUUGGGGGACCACCGAUGGCGAAGGCAUCUUACCAGAACGGCUUCGACAGUGAGGAACGAAAGCUGGGGGAGCGAACCGGAUUAGAUACCCGGGUAGUCCCAGCCGUAAACGAUGCGCGUUAGGUGUACCGGUGACCACGAGUCACUGGGGUGCCGAAGGGAAACCGUGAAACGUGCCGCCUGGGAAGUACGGUCGCAAGGCUGAAACUUAAAGGAAUUGGCGGGGGAGCACCAC
Molecule: ribosomal RNA, 871 nt
Filed under: uncultured archaeon
Lineage: Archaea
Description: bacterial SSU rRNA
Rfam family: Archaeal small subunit ribosomal RNA
Source: RNAcentral